This is a long non-coding RNA of Cydia pomonella (codling moth), 2180 nucleotides long. RefSeq lists it as uncharacterized. NCBI's taxonomy places the organism in Eukaryota, Metazoa, Arthropoda, Insecta, Lepidoptera, Tortricidae. The record is from RefSeq and is a predicted model, not a curated record. The transcript has 4 exons.
AACAAAUUAGUCAAUUAAAAUAAUUGAUUCAAUCACGUCACGUCACACCAUAUCAUUCUAGACUGUGUCAAAUCUUACAAAGAAAUUUUGCCUCUGGCAGCUCUAGGCUCUGUCACUUUAUUUACUUCCGUUCUUUUAGAUUCGUAUUAGUAGUUUUUUUAUACAGCAUUCAUUUUCCUUGCCUGAAAUUUGUUAUUAAAUCCCAAAAUUAUUAAUUAAAGUCAAAAAUACCAAAGUUACCUCAACUACCAGUGUCACAGUGUUUCAACACCUUAAUAAGCAGACAAGUGACAAACAUCCAACCACCAUAUUGUAAUCAUCAAGUUGCAUAGAGAAAGUUGACAAAUAAUAAUUACCUUUACCAUGACAGAAGUUUAAACUGAACUGGAAAAGAUCGUCCCCGAGUCGAGUGCGCCUUUUAUGAUUCUCUUAAUAUCCUACCCAUUGCAUAUCGCAAGAACUUUACAAGACAAACGAAAUAGAAUUUCGGAUUCAAACACGAUCAUGUUCUUCACUUUCGUCAAAAAUGUAUAAAUCUUCAAUGAAUCUAGUGCCGUAAGAUGACCUAUUACCUAAUGUUUAAACUAUCUAGAACCAGGGAUGUUUAAUUAAUGUGCCUAGCUACUGACAGUGCGAGUGAAAUAAAAUAUGGAAACUGUUCCUACAAGCAAGGUAAGAUUAUGUUCGUUUUCCUGCUUUAGAAAAGUCAAGGCUAUUGAGAUCUUGUUAAAUAUACUUAAACGUUAGCAAUCAGAAAAUAAUUAGCCACAAAUUGACCUAUCUAGCAUUAAAUCUAAUUUUCUAAUUGAUCCUGUCCAUCAUAACCUAACAAAGAUUUCCCAAAUUUUUUUAUUAUCCUACUUAAAAAGCUUACGUCUAAUGCAGUGUCAGGCCUAGUGUAUUGUCUCCUUAUUUUUAUGGUUCAGUUCAUUUAUUUUCAAAUAAAAUUGAAUGGGAUCAAAGCGCUGACAAGAUGACAUUUCUAACUUUGUUUUAUCCUGCCUAUUUAAUGUUAUUUUGAACCUUCACUACUCAUUUCUUAUUGCAAUAAGACUUACAAGCGAUGUGUAUCUUUUCAGCAGGCUGACAACUAUUGAAUGUGGUGUGGACAAGUCAUUACUGAAGAAAAAUAUGUUGAAAUUACACUGUGAGACUCCGUUUACUGAUUUUGAUGAAUCUUUCCUGAGCUUUAAGAGUAAGUAUAACACCUCUGUUACUGGGCAGUUAUUUUUAUGCUUGUCCAUACUAUACUUGAAAUUUGGAAACUGUUAUCGUUCUAUAAGAUGAUAUGGGUGAUUUUUUUUUAUUGAAUAUGAGCUUUCCGAACUUGGUAAUGCAAUAUGUUAUGAAAAUGAAAAUUAUGUGAUCACGCCAGCUAAAUAUAAACAGGAUUUCUUGCGCUACUGAAGAUCUGUUAGUGAAUUGGUAUUUUCCUUUCUAAAAAGAACCCGGCAGUUAUCCGAUUAUUCAAAAAAGUGAACCUAAACUUGAACCUGUCAUAAAUAUUCCUCUUCUUGCAAUUAACCUUACAAUAUAUGUUUAAUCUUUCAGCAAACAAAGUCAACUCUGAUGGCUGCCUAUAUAUAUACCUAUACCUAGCGAUCUUGUGAUAUUUAUGCGGAGUGGAGCAAACUUCCAUUUGCUGUUUUCAUGGGCUUUUCCGAGUCUCUCGGUAAUCUCCAAUGCUAUUUGGGACAUUGUCCGAGCCACACAGCGAGUCUAUCAUCCACCUGACCUCAAUCUUUCUCCUGCUGACUGCUUCUAUUUAUGAAAGAUUAUGAAGAAGCAGACCACUCCAGACUCCUGUUCAAUGACUUUAUUUCACGACUUUUGCUGCAACAAUGGCUGCUGUCUUCUGACACUUGAAAGCUCCCGUUCAACGGCUCUAGUACAAGAAAACUGCUCCUACAUCAGCAGUGGUCUACAUUGAAUACUACUUAUAGGGAAAAUUUCACUCAAGAUCUUCCUUUAUAUUAGGUAUCAAGGCGCAAGAAGGUGAAUUUAUAAUUGAUUAUUAUGUGAUGACAAUUCUUAGCUGAGGAAUAUGAAAAGAAUCCCUAACAACAGCGAGAAAAGAACGAGUAAAGAAGAUUGAUAAACUUAUUAAUUAGACAAUAACUCUAAGGAUUUUUUUUUUGUACAUAGUAACAGUUUCAGAAAUAAACGUUAGGUUUCAUGGC